Molecule: long non-coding RNA, 1077 nt
Filed under: Corvus moneduloides (New Caledonian crow)
Lineage: Eukaryota; Metazoa; Chordata; Aves; Passeriformes; Corvidae
Description: lncRNA (ENSCMUG00000018069.1)
Source: RNAcentral
AUGGCGACGAACCCAACGUUGACCCCAGCGUUGACCUUGAACCCAACGUUGAACCCAACGAUGGCGACGAACCCAACGUUGACCCCAACGUUGACCUUGAACCCAACGUUGAACCCAACGAUGGCGACGAACCCAACGUUGACCCCAACGUUGACCUUGAACCCAACGUUGAACCCAACGAUGGCGACGAACCCAACGUUGACCCCAACGUUGACCUUGAACCCAACGUUGAACCCAACGAUGACGAAGAACCCAACGCUGACCCCGCCGUCGACCCCAAUGACGCCGCCGAGCCCAACGACGACGUCGACCCCAACGACGACCCCAACGUGGACGCCAACGACGUCAUGGAGCCCAGCGUGGACGCCAAGGCCACGGCGAUGCCGGAGCGCUGCGGCUUGGGGAAAGGCGGGAAGAGCAGGAAGUGGGGGCCCGGGGGGGGUUUCUGGGGCGGCCGCGGCGGCUCCAGCGCCCCCAGGAGCAGCAGCUGGCGGCAGAUGUCCUGGGUCAGCUGCAUCUGGAGCAGCUGGCGCUGGUGCAGCUGCCGCAGCUCCUCCAGGAUCAGCCGCAGCUCCGGCGGCGCCGGCGGCGCCAUGGGCGGGGGAGGGGAGGGGGCCAGCGGGGAGGGCGGGGAGGGGGCGGCGGGGGCUGGGGGAGGGGGGAGAGAGAGGGAGGUUAGGGUGGCGAAACCUCAAAAUCGACGCUUUUCAGCCCGAAAUCGCAGUUUGUACACAAUUACCAUUCUUUUCCACCCAAAGUUACCAUAAUUCACCCCAAAACUACCACUGCUGCCCCAAAAGUGUUGUUAUUCGCCCAAAACUCGCUGUUAUUUGUCCCCAAAAUCAAAGCUUUUGCCACGAGUUGUCGUUGUUCGCCUCAAAAUCACCGCUUUUCACCCCAAAUUUGCUGUUGUUCCCCGCAGAAUCGGGUUUGCCCUCCCCAAAAUCGGCAUUUCUCACCCCAAGUUUGUCGUUACUAGCCCAAACCUGUCGUCGUUUGCGCCAAAAUUACCGCAUUUCACCCAAAAUUCCCAUUAUUCUCCAGAGCACCACCAAAAUUCCCAUCCAAAAAUCAUAA